UCGAGAAUUUUUCACAAUGGGCGAAAGCCUGAUGGAGCGACGCCGCGUGGGGGAUGAAUGGCUUCGGCCCGUAAACCCCUGUCAUUCGCGAGCAAACGUAUUAUUUAAAGGAUGAUAGCCUGAUAGUAGCGAAAGAGGAAGGGACGGCUAACUCUGUGCCAGCAGCCGCGGUAAUACAGAGGUCCCAAGCGUUGUUCGGAUUUACUGGGCGUAAAGGGUGCGUAGGUGGUGGGGUAAGUCGGAUGUGAAAUCUCCGAGCUCAACUCGGAAAUUGCAUUGGAAACUACCCUGCUCGAGGGUUGGAGGGGGGACUGGAAUACUUGGUGUAGCAGUGAAAUGCGUAGAUAUCAAGUGGAACACCAGUGGCGAAGGCGAGUCCCUGGACAACUCCUGACACUGAGGCACGAAAGUUAGGGGAGCAAACAG
This 426-nucleotide ribosomal RNA is filed under the name uncultured bacterium. RNAcentral describes it as "bacterial SSU rRNA". It matches the Rfam family "Bacterial small subunit ribosomal RNA", at positions 355 to 775 of the family's 1533-position model. The record is from RNAcentral.